Molecule: ribosomal RNA, 492 nt
Filed under: uncultured bacterium
Lineage: Bacteria
Description: partial 16S ribosomal RNA
Rfam family: Bacterial small subunit ribosomal RNA
Source: RNAcentral
AGCGAACGCUGGCGGUAGGCCUAACACAUGCAAGUCGAACGGCAGCACAGUAAGAGCUUGCUCUUACGGGUGGCGAGUGGCGGACGGGUGAGGUAUACAUCGGAAUCUACUUUUUCGUGGGGGAUAACGUAGGGAAACUUACGCUAAUACCGCAUACGAUCUACGGGUGAAAGCAGUGGAUCUUCGGACCUUGCGCGAUUGAACGAGCCGCUGUUGGAUUAGCUAGUUGGCGGGGUAAAGGCCAACCAAGGCGGCGAUCCGUAGCUGGUCUGAGAGGAGGGUCAGCGACACUGGAACUGGGACACGGUCCAGACUCCUGCGGGAGGCAGCAGUGGGGAAUGUUGGACAAUGGGCGGAAGCCUGGUCCAGCCGUACCGCGUGUGUGGAGAAGGCCUUCGGGUUGUAAAGCCCUUUUGUUGGGAGAGAAAAGCAGCAGGUUAAUACCCCGCUGUUCUGACGGUACCCAAUGAAUAAGCACCGGCUAACUUCGUG